Molecule: ribosomal RNA, 403 nt
Filed under: uncultured bacterium
Lineage: Bacteria
Description: bacterial SSU rRNA
Rfam family: Bacterial small subunit ribosomal RNA
Source: RNAcentral
GGGGAAUAUUGGGCAAUGGGGGAAACCCUGACCCAGCAACGCCGCGUGAAGGAAGAAGGCCUUCGGGUUGUAAACUUCUUUGAUCAGGGAAGAAACAAAUGACGGUACCUGAAAAACAAGCCACGGCUAACUACGUGCCAGCAGCCGCGGUAAUACGUAGGUGGCAAGCGUUAUCCGGAUUUACUGGGUGUAAAGGGCGUGUAGGCGGUCUCAUAAGUCAGAUGUGAAAUUCCCGGGCUUAACCCGGGCGCUGCAUCUGAAACUGUGGGACUUGAGUACUGGAGAGGAUAGUGGAAUUCCUAGUGUAGCGGUAAAAUGCGUAGAUAUUAGGAGGAACACCGGUGGCGAAGGCGACUAUCUGGACAGUAACUGACGCUGAGGCGCGAAAGCGUGGGGAGCAAAC